ACUGAGACACGGCCCAGACUCCUACGGGAGGCAGCAGUGGGGAAUAUUGCGCAAUGGGCGAAAGCCUGACGCAGCGACGCCGCGUGGGGGAUGACGGCCUUCGGGUUGUAAACCUCUUUCAGCAGGGACGAAGUUGACGUGUACCUGCAGAAGAAGCGCCGGCUAACUACGUGCCAGCAGCCGCGGUAAUACGUAGGGCGCAAGCGUUGUCCGGAAUUAUUGGGCGUAAAGAGCUCGUAGGUGGCUUGUCGCGUCUGCCGUGAAAGCUCGCAGCUUAACUGCGGGUCUGCGGUGGAUACGGGCUGGCUAGAGGUAGGUAGGGGAGAACGGAAUUCCUGGUGUAGCGGUGAAAUGCGCAGAUAUCAGGAGGAACACCGGUGGCGAAGGCGGUUCUCUGGGCCUUACCUGACGCUGAGGAGCGAAAGCGUGGGGAGCGAACAGGAUUAGAUACCCUGGUAGUCCACGCUGUAAACGUUGGGCGCUAGGUGUGGGGAUCUUCCACGAUCUCCGUGCCGGAGCUAACGCAUUAAGCGCCCCGCCUGGGGAGUACGGCCGCAAGGCUAAAACUCAAAGGAAUUGACGGGGGCCCGCACAAGCGGCGGAGCAUGUUGCUUAAUUCGACGCAACGCGAAGAACCUUACCAAGGCUUGACAUCGCCCGGAAAGCUGCAGAGAUGUGGCCCUCUUCGGACUGGGUGACAGGUGGUGCAUGGCUGUCGUCAGCUCGUGUCGUGAGAUGUUGGGUUAAGUCCCGCAACGAGCGCAACCCUUGCUCCAUGUUGCCAGCAGGCGCUUCGGCGUGCUGGGGACUCAUGGGGGACUGCCGGGGUCAACUCGGAGGAAGGUGGGGAUGACGUCAAGUCAUCAUGCCCCUUAUGUCUUGGGCUGCAAACAUGCUACAAUGGCCGGUACAGAGGGUUGCGAUACCGUGAGGUGGAGCGAAUCCCUAAAAGCCGGUCUCAGUUCGGAUUGGGGUCUGCAACUCGACCCCAUGAAGUCGGAGUCGCUAGUAAUCGCAGAUCAGCAACGCUGCGGUGAAUACGUUCCCGGGCCUUGUACACACCGCCCGUCACGUCACGAAAGUCGGCAACACCCG
Molecule: ribosomal RNA, 1095 nt
Filed under: Nonomuraea roseola
Lineage: Bacteria; Bacillati; Actinomycetota; Actinomycetes; Streptosporangiales; Streptosporangiaceae
Also listed under: 1 other name
Description: bacterial SSU rRNA
Rfam family: Bacterial small subunit ribosomal RNA
Source: RNAcentral